This 474-nucleotide ribosomal RNA is filed under the name uncultured bacterium. RNAcentral's name for it is "partial 16S ribosomal RNA". It matches the Rfam family "Bacterial small subunit ribosomal RNA", at positions 28 to 507 of the family's 1533-position model. The record is from RNAcentral.
GACGAACGCUGGCGGCGUGCUUAACACAUGCAAGUCGAGCGGUAAGGCUCCUUCGGGAGUACACGAGCGGCGAACGGGUGAGUAACACGUGAGUAAUCUGCCCUUCACUUCGGGAUAACCACCGGAAACGGUGGCUAAUACCGAAUACGACCAGUCUUCGCAUGAGAUGCUGGUGGAAAGUCUUUUCGGUGAAGGAUGUGCUCGCGGCCUAUCAGCUUGUUGGUGGGGUAAUGGCCUACCAAGGCUUCGACGGGUAGCCGGCCUGAGAGGGUGACCGGCCACACUGGGACUGAGACACGGCCCAGACUCCUACGGGAGGCAGCAGUGGGGAAUAUUGGACAAUGGGCGAAAGCCUGAUCCAGCAACGCCGCGUGAGGGAUGACGGCCUUCGGGUUGUAAACCUCUUUCAGUACCGACGAAGCGCCCUGUCGGGUGGUGACGGUAGGUACAGAAGAAGGACCGGCCAACUACGUG